RNAcentral lists this ribosomal RNA (404 nucleotides) under Escherichia coli. Its description in RNAcentral is "bacterial SSU rRNA". It matches the Rfam family "Bacterial small subunit ribosomal RNA", at positions 1130 to 1533 of the family's 1533-position model. RNAcentral also lists the same sequence under 3 other names. The record is from RNAcentral. Lineage: Bacteria; Pseudomonadati; Pseudomonadota; Gammaproteobacteria; Enterobacterales; Enterobacteriaceae.
GCCGGGAACUCAAAGGAGACUGCCAGUGAUAAACUGGAGGAAGGUGGGGAUGACGUCAAGUCAUCAUGGCCCUUACGACCAGGGCUACACACGUGCUACAAUGGCGCAUACAAAGAGAAGCGACCUCGCGAGAGCAAGCGGACCUCAUAAAGUGCGUCGUAGUCCGGAUUGGAGUCUGCAACUCGACUCCAUGAAGUCGGAAUCGCUAGUAAUCGUGGAUCAGAAUGCCACGGUGAAUACGUUCCCGGGCCUUGUACACACCGCCCGUCACACCAUGGGAGUGGGUUGCAAAAGAAGUAGGUAGCUUAACCUUCGGGAGGGCGCUUACCACUUUGUGAUUCAUGACUGGGGUGAAGUCGUAACAAGGUAACCGUAGGGGAACCUGCGGUUGGAUCACCUCCUUA